CAGGCCUAACACAUGCAAGUCGAGCGCGAAAACCCCUUCGGGGGCCAGUAGAGCGGCGCACGGGUGAGUAACACGUGGAUAAUCUGCCUUCAGGUCUGGAAUAACCAAGGGAAACUUUGGCUAAUACCGGGUAAUACCCAGCGGCGUUAAGCUGUUGGGGAAAAGCAGGGGCCCUCUUCGGAGGCCUUGCGCCAGAAGAUGAGUCCGCGGCCCAUCAGCUAGUUGGCGGGGUAAUGGCCCACCAAGGCGAAGACGGGUAGCUGGUCUGAGAGGAUGACCAGCCACACUGGAACUGAGACACGGUCCAGACUCCUACGGGAGGCAGCAGUGGGGAAUAUUGCGCAAUGGACGAAAGUCUGACGCAGCAACGCCGCGUGAGUGAUGAAGGUCUUCGGAUCGUAAAGCUCUGUCGGCAGGAACGAUGGCGCAGGGACCUAACAGGUCCACGCGUUGACGGUACCUGCAAAGGAAGCACCGGCUAACUCUGUGCCAGCAGCCGCGGUAAU
RNAcentral lists this ribosomal RNA (506 nucleotides) under uncultured bacterium. Its description in RNAcentral is "bacterial SSU rRNA". It matches the Rfam family "Bacterial small subunit ribosomal RNA", at positions 43 to 524 of the family's 1533-position model. The record is from RNAcentral.